RNAcentral lists this long non-coding RNA (1479 nucleotides) under Calidris pygmaea (Spoon-billed sandpiper). Its description in RNAcentral is "lncRNA (ENSCPGG00000014056.1)". The record is from RNAcentral. Lineage: Eukaryota; Metazoa; Chordata; Aves; Charadriiformes; Scolopacidae.
CCCAGGACUCUGCCGUGACGGGGUGCAGAGGAGCCAAAGGGUUAAACCUGGACUUGCCCAGAACGAUAAAGCCCCUUCGAGCCCAGCCUGCAGCAACCCUGCCAGGAUGGGAUGAGCCCCAGGGGCAGCGGGGGGACCCACUGCGCCCCCGGGGAGCCCCCACAGCAUCACCCACCUCCAUGGGGCUGGCCAGGGGCUUUGCAAAAGGCUCCGUCCCGGGGGGACGGGCACCCUGGCAGGGGCAGAGCCCAGGCAGGCUGCAGGCAGCCGGUCCUGCGCCUCCCAUCCCCCUGUGUGCCUGGGGAGGAAACGGGAGUUAUUGCUCUUGGAGACAGCAGUGGCUAUUUUUUUUUUUUUCUAAUUUCUUUUCUUUUUUUUUUUUUCUUUUUUUUUUUUUCCCCUCUCUUCUUUUUUAUUUCCCUUCAUUUUAUAAAAAGCACCUGACCGCAGGAGGCAGCUGGCUGCAGCCCACGCGCCCACCAAGCGCCCAGCCGGACACUGGCCCCCUGCAGCACCCAGGGCAAGCCAGGACCCCCAGGGACCCCCAGCACCCCACUGUCUCCUGGCUGGGAAUUGGGUGGGCUCAGCCGGGAGGGGCCAUGUCCUCGCCUCACCCCACAUCAGCUCCCCCAAUUUGGGGGACACCACAGCCCCAGGGAGGGGGGCUGCUGCUCCCCCGCCCCCCCCCCAUCUCAUCUGCCCAAGUACCACGGAGCUGGCAGAGCGAGGAGCAUCACCCAGCCUGGGGGUCCCGGUGCAGAGCCCAUCCCUCAGGUGGGCUGUGCCCCCCACCAGCUCCCGUGACCCCCAGCAUCCCCGCCAGGCAGGAUAGAGCCGAGGCAUCUCCCUGCACCUGGGGGAAGGGGGCUGGGGGGGGGAUACAGCCCAUGGCAGGCCGGGAGCUGCACCCUGGGGGUCUGUGCUUGUGCCAGCCUGUGGGAAACGGGGGGCUGCCCCGAGCCCUGCCGUGGGGGCCAGCUCCUGAGCCUCCACCCACCCCGAACUGGCCGGGAGCCACAAGCAAACAUCCUCCGGACGUUUGGGAAGAGCCUAAUUGCUGGGGAAAGGAAGGGCCACAGGCGGGUCAUACUCGGGGGCUCUUCCUCCCCCCACCCCCCACCCCUCCAACCCCCAGGUGCAGCAGGACAAGCCACAUCCCCUUGUGCCUCAGUUUCCCCCUUCGGUGCAAAUGCGAGGCCCCAGCACCCCCCCCCCCCGACCCAGACCCAGCUGAGUCACCCACAUGGUUAUUUCGACAAGCGGCUGGAGCAGGAGGGAGCGCUCUCCCAGGACAGCCCCCACCCAAGCGGGGCCCCAAAUCUAAACAACCCACCUACGACCUCACCGAGAGGGGGGCGGGGGGGGAGGGGGAAGCCAACACCACCAGCACCACCAGCCAUGGGAGACGGCAGGUCACCGGCACAACACCCCAUGGCAGAGCGGGCAAGCAAGCCGGGCACAAUUUGGGGCCAAAUCAUC